UAAUACGUAGGGCGCAAGCGUUAUCCGGAAUUAUUGGGCGUAAAGAGCUCGUAGGCGGUUUGUCGCGUCUGCUGUGAAAUCCCGAGGCUCAACCUCGGGUCUGCAGUGGGUACGGGCAGACUAGAGUGCGGUAGGGGAGAUUGGAAUUCCUGGUGUAGCGGUGGAAUGCGCAGAUAUCAGGAGGAACACCGAUGGCGAAGGCAGAUCUCUGGGCCGUAACUGACGCUGAGGAGCGAAAGGGUGGGGAGCAAACAGG
This 256-nucleotide ribosomal RNA is filed under the name uncultured bacterium. RNAcentral describes it as "partial 16S ribosomal RNA". It matches the Rfam family "Bacterial small subunit ribosomal RNA", at positions 521 to 776 of the family's 1533-position model. The record is from RNAcentral.